Molecule: ribosomal RNA, 420 nt
Filed under: uncultured bacterium
Lineage: Bacteria
Description: bacterial SSU rRNA
Rfam family: Bacterial small subunit ribosomal RNA
Source: RNAcentral
CGGGUGAGUAAUACAUAAGCAACCUGCCCGCGAAGGACUGGGGAUAAUUCCUGAAACGGGGACGUAAUACCGGAUAGGUAGUGUGAUCGCAUGAUCGCACUAUAAAGGUUCAAGACACUGGUGGAUGGGCUUAUGGCGCAUUAGCUGGUUGGUGAGGUAACGGCCCACCAAGGCGAUGAUGCGUAGCCGGCCUGAGAGGGUGAACGGCCACAUUGGGACUGAGACACGGCCCAGACUCCUACGGGAGGCAGCAGUAGGGAAUUUUCGGCAAUGGGCGCAAGCCUGACCGAGCAACGCCGCGUGAGUGAAGACGGCCUUCGGGUUGUAAAGCUCUGUUGUAAGGGAAGAAUUGGCAUGAGAGAAUCGUGCAGUGACGGUACCUUACCAGAAAGCCACGGCUAACUACGUGCCAGCAGCGGC